CAGCAGCCGCGGUAAUACCCGCGGCCCAAGUGGUGGUCGAUAUUAUUGAGCCUAAAACGUCCGUAGCCGGUCUUGUAAAUCCUUGGGUAAAUCGACCAGCUCAACUGUUCGAAGUCCGGGGAGACUGCAAGACUUGGGAUCGGGAGAGGUGAGAGGUACUUCUGGGGUAGGGGUAAAAUCCUGUAAUCCUAGAAGGACCACCGGUGGCGAAGGCGUCUCACUAGAACGAAUCCGACGGUGAGGGACGAAGCCCUGGGGCGCAAACGGGAUUAGAUACCCCGGUAGUCCAGGGUGUAAACGCUGCGGGCUUGGUGUUGGGGGUCCUUUGAGGGCGCCCAGUGCCGGAGAGAAGUUGUUAAGCCUGCUGCUUGGGGAGUACGUCCGCAAGGAUGAAACUUAAAGGAAUUGGCGGGGGAGCACCGCAACGGGAGGAGCGUGCGGUUCAAUUGGAUUCAACGCCGGACAACUCACCAGGAGCGACGGUUACAUGAAGGCCAGGCUGAUGACCUUGCCUGAUUUUCCGAGAGGAGGUGCAUGGCC
Molecule: ribosomal RNA, 540 nt
Filed under: uncultured bacterium
Lineage: Bacteria
Description: bacterial SSU rRNA
Rfam family: Archaeal small subunit ribosomal RNA
Source: RNAcentral